CGCGCAGGCGGGAACAUUAGUCUAUCUUAAAAGUGCGGGGCUCAACCCCGUGAUGGGGUAGGAAACUGUGUCUCUUGAGUGCAGGAGAGGAAAGUGGAAUUCCCAGUGUAGCGGUGAAAUGCGUAGAGAUUGGGAGGAACACCAGUGGCGAAGGCGACUUUCUGGACUGUGUCUGACGCUGAGGCGCGAAAGCCAGGGGAGUGAACGGGAUUAGAUACCCCGGUAAUCCUGGCUGUAAACGAUGGGUACUAGGUGUAGGAGGUAUCGACCCCUUCUGUGCCGGAGUUAACGCAAUAAGUACCCCGCCUGGGGAGUACGAUCGCAAGGUUGAA
Molecule: ribosomal RNA, 332 nt
Filed under: uncultured bacterium
Lineage: Bacteria
Description: bacterial SSU rRNA
Rfam family: Bacterial small subunit ribosomal RNA
Source: RNAcentral